This is a non-coding RNA of Monodelphis domestica (gray short-tailed opossum), 542 nucleotides long. Lineage: Eukaryota; Metazoa; Chordata; Mammalia; Didelphimorphia; Didelphidae. The record is from RefSeq and is a predicted model, not a curated record.
CCGGCCCCUGGAGCUCUCUCUUCCUCAGCCAGCAAUCAGCGGGGGGUAAUGUAAUAUCUAAAUGCCAACACCCGCCCCUCCCUCCUCCCGGGACCUUCUGCUCCGUAAUGAGCUAAGGUUCGGAGGAAGCCCAUCUUUGCGGACAUAGUCAGAGGGUGCUGAACCCUAGAACCACUGAGGGGCCGGGGCUUGGGACAGGAUCGCCUAGCAACUGUGCAGCGGGGAGCCUGGAAACGGAUUCUGGAGCAAAAUGAGCUCCCCUGGAUUUCCUGGUUGGGGGUCCUUUCUCCUCUUCAGGAAAAAGAGCAAAGAAGAUUAAGGACAGGAACUGAAGCUGAGGAAAUGAAAUGAAAGGGGGCAGGGCAAGGAGGAGAGGAGGAUGAUGAGGAAACUGAGGUUCAGGGAAAUGAAGUGACUCGCCCAAGGACACAAAGGUGAUAAUAAUGAGAAUGGACAUGGAUACAAGUUAUCCCCAAAAUUUUAAUGCAGUUUUAUGCUUUAAAAUCUUUUAAAUAAAUAAUACUUAACAUUUCGAUAUUAAA